GAUGAACGCUGGCGGCGUGCUUAACACAUGCAAGUCGAACGAUGAAGCCCAGCUUGCUGGGUGGAUUAGUGGCGAACGGGUGAGUAACACGUGAGUAACCUGCCCUUAACUCUGGGAUAAGCCUGGGAAACUGGGUCUAAUACCGGAUAGGAGCGUCCACCGCAUGGUGGGUGUUGGAAAGAUUUAUCGGUUUUGGAUGGACUCGCGGCCUAUCAGCUUGUUGGUGAGGUAAUGGCUCACCAAGGCGACGACGGGUAGCCGGCCUGAGAGGGUGACCGGCCACACUGGGACUGAGACACGGCCCAGACUCCUACGGGAGGCAGCAGUGGGGAAUAUUGCACAAUGGGCGAAAGCCUGAUGCAGCGACGCCGCGUGAGGGAUGACGGCCUUCGGGUCGUAAACCUCUUUCAGUAGGGAAGAAGCGAAAGUGACGGUACCUGCAGAAGAAGCACCGGCUAACUACGUG
Molecule: ribosomal RNA, 466 nt
Filed under: uncultured bacterium
Lineage: Bacteria
Description: partial 16S ribosomal RNA
Rfam family: Bacterial small subunit ribosomal RNA
Source: RNAcentral